Molecule: long non-coding RNA, 794 nt
Filed under: Vigna radiata
Lineage: Eukaryota; Viridiplantae; Streptophyta; Magnoliopsida; Fabales; Fabaceae
Description: long non-coding RNA (VRAD_LNC015569)
Source: RNAcentral
ACAACCCCAAACUUAGAACUUUUCUUGUCCUCAAGCAAACACAAUGCAACCUAGUCUUCCACAAUUCAUCACAACCUUUUCAAAUCCAAUUACUCAAAUCAGCUUAUCCAAAGAAUUCAAUCAAGAUGCACAUAUGCUUCAAAUCAAACCAUCAUAGUGUUCUUCACAGUCACAUACAAUCCAACAGAUGCUAUUCACAUGAAUGAUCAAUUAGCUAAGCACAAAUAUAAUCAUAGAUUCAUGGAAUUCUUCCUCUCCGGACAAAGUGUUUCACUCAACCACUGAAGUAUUUCAAAAGGUUACUCCAUCCCUCUACCAUCUACAUGUCACAUAGAACAAAAUUGUCAUUCAUUUGCCACAAUCAAACAUCAUCACAUACACAUGUCACCACAAGUACUUUUCAAGGCUUAUAAUGUGGUUGGGCUAACAAGGAAAAUUGGUUUUUCUAGAUCACAAAAUCCUUGAGUUAAGAGAGUCAUUCAAAUAAUUAUGGUUCAAGUACAAACUCUCUUUUUACCAAUCUCACUUAUUCCCAACUUUUCCUUAUCUUCACAUUGUGUUUUUCUUCUCAUGCUUUUUCUUUUUCUUAUCUUUUCUAUUUUUUUUCAUACAUUUUCAUUCAACUCAAUAGCUCAAUGUCAAACUUUUUCUUUUUCAAUUCUCCCAUCAACCCCAAACUUGAACCUUUAACUACACCACAAAGUAUUUCUCAACCUAACUCAAGGUAAAGAUUUUCAAAGCAAGGGUUUUUAUCCUGUUUAAAGCUUAGGUUCAAAAAGGGUAGAACAUAAGAU